RNAcentral lists this transfer RNA (71 nucleotides) under Stegodyphus mimosarum. It matches the Rfam family "tRNA". From Rfam's summary of the family: Transfer RNA (tRNA) molecules are approximately 80 nucleotides in length. Their secondary structure includes four short double-helical elements and three loops (D, anti-codon, and T loops). Lineage: Eukaryota; Metazoa; Arthropoda; Arachnida; Araneae; Eresidae. The record is from Rfam by way of RNAcentral.
ACCUUCGUGGUGUAACGGUAGCACACUCGGCACGCAUUCGAGAGGUCCAGGUUCGAUUCCCGGCGAGGGCA